This 387-nucleotide ribosomal RNA is filed under the name uncultured bacterium. RNAcentral's name for it is "bacterial SSU rRNA". It matches the Rfam family "Bacterial small subunit ribosomal RNA", at positions 28 to 416 of the family's 1533-position model. The record is from RNAcentral.
GACGAACGCUGGCGGCGUGCUUAACACAUGCAAGUCGAGCGGUAAGGCCCUUUCGGGGGUACACGAGCGGCGAACGGGUGAGUAACACGUGGGUGACCUGCCCUCAGCUCUGGGAUAAGCCUGGGAAACCGGGUCUAAUACUGGAUAUGACUCCAUGACGCAUGUUGUGGGGUGGAAAGCCUUGUGCGGCUGAGGAUGGGCCCGCGGCCUAUCAGCUUGUUGGUGGGGNGAUGGCCUACCAAGGCGACGACGGGUAGCCGGCCUGAGAGGGCGACCGGCCACACUGGGACUGAGACACGGCCCAGACUCCUACGGGAGGCAGCAGUGGGGAAUUGUUCGCAAUGGGCGCAAGCCUGACGACGCAACGCCGCGUGGAGGAUGAAGACC